AGAAAAUACAUGCGCACAUCAUAUCCAACUGUGAAGCAUCAGUUUGAUGUUUGGCAUGUCUCCAAAGGCAUCCGCAAGAAGCUCAUGAGUGCGAGCAAGACAAAGGGGUGUGAAGCACUUGAGCUGUGGACAAAGCCUGUUGUCAACCACCUUUACUUCUGUGUCACUCACUGUGAAGGGGACACAGAGCAAGCUCUCUCAAUGUGGAAGAGCCUCAACAACCAUGCUUGCAAUGUCCAUGAGGGUCACGAGGGUUCUUAUACGCGCUGUUUGCACCCUCUCCUCGACGACACGAAGCGACCAUGGCUCAUUCCUGGAUCACAGCCGCAGAAAAAGCUAGCCAGUAUAACAUUGUCAAAGUACCUCCUCAAGGACAUCCCGAGCCUUUCUCCUGAUGUGCAGACUUCAAGCUUGGAGGCAUUCCACAGCCUCCUCAUCAGGUUUGCUCCAAAGUCUGUUGGGUAUGGCCCCAAAACCAUGAAGUGCAGGUA
Molecule: long non-coding RNA, 491 nt
Organism: Ornithodoros turicata
Lineage: Eukaryota; Metazoa; Arthropoda; Arachnida; Ixodida; Argasidae
Exons: 3
Source: RefSeq, a predicted model, not a curated record